This 477-nucleotide long non-coding RNA is filed under the name Astyanax mexicanus (Mexican tetra). RNAcentral's name for it is "lncRNA (ENSAMXG00005019313.1)". Lineage: Eukaryota; Metazoa; Chordata; Actinopteri; Characiformes; Acestrorhamphidae. The record is from RNAcentral.
GGUGGAGUGUUAGCAGCUGAACAGCCGCAGUGCUAUUUAAACUCGGGUCCUAAAAGACACAUUACUGUUGGACUGUCAGAGAGAGCAGACCACUUAUCUCUGGAAACAUGAUCAUUUUUAUCAUCAUCGGCGUCGUUGCAGUCAUCAUUCUGAUAUCCGUCUGUGUGUGCUGUGCUCGCAAGAAAUCUAGGAGUCAAGACCGUGGACAUGCUGACAAUCAUGAUCACUGUAGCAAUAGAGAAAUGGUGCAGAUUGUUCCUGUGGUUACACCAUUUCAACCUGGGGUGAACAUGCCUGCUGCACCUGUAAUGCACCUUCAGGGUCAUCAUCCUGCCUAUGUUCUAUAAACCAAAAAAAACCCUUCUUAACCCUUGUGUGGUAUUCGGGUCUGUGACAUAUAUCAAAACACAUUUUCGAUAAACACACUCUGUACCAAGGGCUAAUAAACAUUGCUUCAUUUGUAAAUUUUAAACUAAA